CACAUGGCAAUGCAUUGAAUCCUUAUAACAUACCCUUGAUGCAGAGCCUAUUAUUGGCAUCAUCUCCCCAUUUUACAGAUGAUGAAACUGAGGCCCAGAGAAGUUGAGAUGCCUGACCGUCAUCCACUAGAAAGUGGCAGAGCUGGGAUUGGAAUGCAGGCUGUCUGGCACUCAGCUGUGUGCCUUCAAUACGCCACCAGGCCAACCUUUGCUGCAGAUCUAAAGCUUGAUGCUAUCCCCAGGGAGAAGCCAAGCCCAGUCUUCUUGCAGCUUUACAGGAUGCACUGAGCAUGAUCCUUGGAUUUCCAACCUGCUGUUGCAACUUCCUAUCAGAGCUCCUCUUGCCAGGAACAAAGCGACAGCCGUCUGCUGGUGAGCUGGGCUAAUCCUGUUAAACAAUUCACAGAUCUGACGCCGGACACGCUUUUUGAAACCUGAGGGAAAGGAGAUACAGUCAUGGAGGGAAGAUGGCCAUGUGAAGAAGGCAGAGAUUGGAGUGUUGUUGCCACAAGCUGAGGAAUGUCUGGAGCUGCAGGAGCCCGGAGGAAGCCGGGAAGCAUCCUUCCCUAGUGCCUGCAGAGGGAGCCUGGCCAGCCGACACAUUGAUUUCUGACUUCUGGCCUCCAGAGCUGCGAGCUACUCAGUUUCUGUUGUUUUCAGCCACCCAGUUGUGGUGACUUGCUGCGGUAGCCCCCAGAGACCAGGACGCCAGCCCAGGGAUGAGGGUGCUGGUCCUGGGGGUGUCAAUGCACUGGCACAUCCCGCUUGACCCUGGAGUGGCCAGAGAAAGCCCUGGGCAGAGGUGUGGGCAGAGGUGGCAGGUGUGGGCAGAGGUGGCAGGUGCUGGCAGAGGUGGCAGGUGUUGCGGGAAGUCAGGGACCCCGAACGGAGGGAUGGGCUGAAGCCGUGGCAGAAGAACAUAAAUUGUGAAGAUUUCAUGGACAUUUAUUAGUUCCCCAAAUUAAUACUUUUAUAAUUUCUUACGCCUGUCUUUACUGCAAUCUCUGAAUAUAAAUUGUGAAGAUUUCAUGGACACUUAUCACUUCCCCAGUCAAUACUCUUGUGAUUUCCUAUGCCUGUCUUUGCUUUAACCUCUUAAUUCCGUCAUUUUCAUAAGCUGAGGACGUAUGUCACCUUAGGACCCUGUGAUGAUUGCAUUAACUGCACAAAUUGUUUAAACAAUUUGAAAUCUGGGCAUCUUGAAAAAAGAACAGGGUAAGAGCGAUGUUCAGGGAACAAGGGAGGUAACCUUAAAGUCUGGCUGCCUGUGGGCUGGGUGGGACAGAGCCAUAUUUCUCUUAUUACUGAAAACGGGUAAGAGAAAUAUCGCUGAAUUCUUUCCCCAGUGAGGAAUAUUAAUAAUUAACAGCCCUGGGAAAAGAAUGCAUUCCCAGGGUGGGGCCUCUGAAAUGGCCGCUCUGGGGGUGUCUGCCUUAUGCAGAUGUAGAUAGGGAUGAAACAUGCCCUAGUCUCCGGCAGCGCCCCCAGGCUUGCUAGGAUUAGGAAAUUCCAGCCUGGCAAAUUCUAGUCAGACCUGUUUUCUGCUCUUGAACCCUGACAAUGCGUGCACAGCGGGACAUGGAAGUUCAUUAGUGGAUUCUAGUUUCGCCCUGACCUUCUGCCUUGUGAUCUUUUGUCGCCCUUGAAGCAUGUGAUCCCUGUGACCCACACCGUAUCCGUGCACUCCCUCCCCUUUUGAAAAUCACUAAUAAAAACUUGCUGGUUUUGCGGCUUGUGGGGCAUCACGGAACCUGCCGACAUGUGAUGUCUCCCCCGGAUGCCCAGCUUUAAAAUUUCUCUCUUUUGUACUCUGUC
This 1815-nucleotide long non-coding RNA is filed under the name Homo sapiens (human). RNAcentral describes it as "HSALNT0001039". The record is from RNAcentral. Lineage: Eukaryota; Metazoa; Chordata; Mammalia; Primates; Hominidae.